UACGUAGGGUGCAAGCGUUGUCCGGAAUUAUUGGGCGUAAAGGGCUCGUAGGCGGUCCAUCACGUCGGGAGUGAAAAGCUGGGGCUUAACCCCAGUCCUGCUUCCGAUACGGGUGGACUAGAGGUAGGCAGGGGAGAACGGAAUUCCUGGUGUAGCGGUGAAAUGCGCAGAUAUCUGGAGGAACACCGGUGGCGAAGGCGGCAUCCUGGACCAAUAUUGACGCUGAGGAGCGAAAGCUAGGGGAGCAAACGGG
Molecule: ribosomal RNA, 253 nt
Filed under: uncultured bacterium
Lineage: Bacteria
Description: partial 16S ribosomal RNA
Rfam family: Bacterial small subunit ribosomal RNA
Source: RNAcentral